This 220-nucleotide unclassified non-coding RNA is filed under the name uncultured fungus. Its description in RNAcentral is "sequence contains ITS1". The record is from RNAcentral. Lineage: Eukaryota; Fungi.
GUAUUGCAUUUCUGCUUCUAUCGAUAAACAUGCGUCAACGUGUUUCGAAAGGUUGGGGUGUUGUCACCACCGGCGGGGCGCGUGCGCCCUCGCAGGCGGGCCACGGUUCACAGGGGGGUGGAGGGAAGUGGGCGCGGGCGCGCUCCUCUCUCUGCAACGAGCGAGCAGCGGCCGCGCACCGAUUUCGCUAAUGAUCCUUCCGCAGGUUCACCUACGGAAA